RNAcentral lists this ribosomal RNA (253 nucleotides) under uncultured bacterium. Its description in RNAcentral is "partial 16S ribosomal RNA". It matches the Rfam family "Bacterial small subunit ribosomal RNA", at positions 524 to 776 of the family's 1533-position model. The record is from RNAcentral.
UACGGGGGGUGCAAGCGUUGUCCGGAUUUAUUGGGUUUAAAGGGUGCGUAGGCGGCUUCUUAAGUCUGGGGUGAAAGCCCGUUGCUCAACAACGGAACUGCCCUGGAAACUGGGAGGCUUGAGUACAGACGAGGGCGGCGGAAUGGAUGCUGUAGCGGUGAAAUGCAUAGAUAGCAUCCAGAACCCCGAUUGCGAAGGCAGCUGCCUAGACUGUAACUGACGCUGAGGCACGAAAGCGUGGGGAGCGAACAGG